This 460-nucleotide ribosomal RNA is filed under the name uncultured bacterium. RNAcentral's name for it is "partial 16S ribosomal RNA". It matches the Rfam family "Bacterial small subunit ribosomal RNA", at positions 338 to 795 of the family's 1533-position model. The record is from RNAcentral.
CCUACGGGUGGCAGCAGUGAGGAAUUUUGGUCAAUGGACGAGAGUCUGAACCAGCCAAGUAGCGUGAAGGAUGACUGCCCUAUGGGUUGUAAACUUCUUUUAUAUGGGAAUAAAACGUUCCACGAGUGGGAUUUUGUAUGUACCAUAUGAAUAAGGAUCGGCUAACUCCGUGCCAGCAGCCGCGGUAAUACGGAGGAUCCGAGCGUUAUCCGGAUUUAUUGGGGUUAAAGGGUGCGUAGGUGGAUUGUUAAGUCAGUUGUGAACGUUUGCGGCUCAACCGUAAAAUUGCAGUUGAUACUGGCAGUCUUGAGUACAGUAGAGGUGGGCGGAAUUCGUGGUGUAGCGGUGAAAUGCUUAGAUAUCACGAAGAACUCCGAUUGCGAAGGCAGUUCACUGGACUUCAACUGACACUGAGGCUCGAAGGUGUGGGUAUCAAACGGGAUUAGAUACCCGAGUAGUC